RNAcentral lists this ribosomal RNA (526 nucleotides) under uncultured bacterium. RNAcentral's name for it is "bacterial SSU rRNA". It matches the Rfam family "Bacterial small subunit ribosomal RNA", at positions 775 to 1299 of the family's 1533-position model. The record is from RNAcentral.
AGUCAAUAGAUACCCAGGUAGUCCACGCCGUAAACGAUGUCGACUUGGAGGUUGUGCCCUUGAGGCGUGGCUUCCGGAGCUAGCGCGUUAAGUCGACCGCCUGGGGAGUACGGCCGCAAGGUUAAAACUCAAAUGAAUUGACGGGGGCCCGCACAAGCGGUGGAGCAUGUGGCUUAAUUCGAUGCAACGCGAAGAACCUUACCUACUCUUGACAUCCAGAGAACUUAGCAGAGAUGCUUUGGUGCCUUCGGGAACCCUGAGACAGGUGCUGCAUGGCUGUCGUCAGCUCGUGUUGUGAAAUGUUGGGUUAAGUCCCGCAACGAGCGCAACCCUUAUCCUUUGUUGCCAGCGGUCCGGCCGGGAACUCAAAGGAGACUGCCAGUGAUAAACUGGAGGAAGGUGGGGAUGACGUCAAGUCAUCAUGGCCCUUACGAGUAGGGCUACACACGUGCUACAAUGGCGCAUACAAAGAGAAGCGACCUCGCGAGAGCAAGCGGACCUCAUAAAGUGCGUCGUAGUCCGGAUU